UAUUCUUUUCACGAGAUUGAUAAAGAAUAACAUAAAGUUUUACACAUAACAAAAACAAUCUUUUUAUCAAUUUCUUAAAUCAUGAAGUAUGCUAUUUCAGUUGUUCUUUUGUGCGUUCUCAUGUCUCACGUUUCGAACAUUGUCAAAGUGAAUAGCCUAGACCCUAUGUGUAAAUGGUAUCGUCGAGUUCCUGGAAAAUGCAGCCCUGAUGGAAACAAGAAGUGCCAUGUCGAAGUACAGCGACCACAAGAACAAGUAAAUCAACAAUUUGAGCGUUGCGAGUGUACAAACAAAAUUGUUGGGCAGAAAGACCAUCAUGACUGCAAUUGUUUUGUUAAGCCUCCUUGUCGUUAAACCUAAAGACAACAAGACUGCUUUUGUUAUACAAAACCUCUUUGUCCAUAAUACACUA
This is a long non-coding RNA of Brassica napus (rape), 412 nucleotides long. RefSeq lists it as uncharacterized. Lineage: Eukaryota; Viridiplantae; Streptophyta; Magnoliopsida; Brassicales; Brassicaceae. The transcript is spliced from 2 exons. The record is from RefSeq and is a predicted model, not a curated record.